AUGCCAUGGUGUGGACAUUCUCUCUGCAGGUCUAUAUCUUUCCCAUGCAUCAUAGAGUGAUUCUCCCUCCUUUUGUCUAAAAGUGUUGAGCUUAAGUCUCAGCUU
Small nucleolar RNA from Hevea brasiliensis (rubber tree), 105 nucleotides. Lineage: Eukaryota; Viridiplantae; Streptophyta; Magnoliopsida; Malpighiales; Euphorbiaceae. The record is from RefSeq and is a predicted model, not a curated record.